CCAACUAACCAGCUUUGUCUCUUCACAUACUUUACAAAACUCUAUAAUCUCAAGCUUCCAUGGCUUCUUUGAAAGCUGAGAAACCUGCAUUGGCUGCCCCACAAGCUGCACAGUCUAAGAAGGAGCCUAAAGCUACCCAGGCUGCACCCAAAGCUUCUGCCCCGAAAUCCAAUUCCGCCUCGAAGAAGGCAGCUCAAAAAUCUCAAGAUCUCCCUAAAAAGGGGAAAGGCGGCAAGUCUGGUGGAAAGCACUGAAUAAAAAGGGCUGAUUCUAUGGUUGCUUGCAUGAUGAGCUAGCAAAACCAAAUUACCAUGUUAUAUUAGUAUGCUUUUUAUCUUAUAUCUUUGUAUUUUCAUGCUCUUGUAUCCUUCUCCAUGUACGUUCACUUAAAUAAAAAUAUGCUGCUAUGAUAAUA
This is a long non-coding RNA of Momordica charantia (bitter melon), 415 nucleotides long. RefSeq lists it as uncharacterized. NCBI's taxonomy places the organism in Eukaryota, Viridiplantae, Streptophyta, Magnoliopsida, Cucurbitales, Cucurbitaceae. The record is from RefSeq and is a predicted model, not a curated record.